UAUUUCACCUGAUAGUCUGCUAUCCUCUUUGGGGAGAUUGGCAAUUUCAAUGUUAAUCCUGCCUGUCCAUACAAGUUGCUCAACCUUUCAGUAAUGUUAAGCUGUUUUACUGUUGUAAUUUUUUCUUUUGCCUGUUGUCCAUACAAAUUGCUCAACCUUUCAGUAAUGUUAAGCUGUUUUACUGUUGUAAUUUUUUCUUUUGCCUGGUAAUCAAUCAUUUGGGUGAUUUACUGGAUAACUCUGUUGUGUUUUCCUGACAUCUACUUUGACAACAACAACAAACCCAGUUUGAUCCCAACAUGUGGGGUCUAAGGAGGGUAGUAUGUACAAAGACCUUACCCCUACCUAAGGCAGGUAAAGAGGCUGUUUCCAAUAGACCCUCGGCUCAGGAAGGACAAGAAGAAGAAGAGGGAAGCAAGGAAGGAAAAACAGUAUCCAAUUACUGACAUCUACUUUGAAUUUAUGAGGAAGCGUAUUCUUUUCUACCAAAUUUUUGAAAUAAAAGAAAGUGAUGUAAAAUUCAAUUUGGAGCCCUGGCUGCUGAUACACAUGUAUAUCUUUUUAAUCUAGUUAGUCUUGUAAAUAUAUUGCAUCUUGUUAAAAUUAACUCCUAGUUCUGUAAAUAUCAUAAUGGACACAUUCAAGAAGCUUCCUCUAUAUGACAAGUGCA
Molecule: long non-coding RNA, 670 nt
Filed under: Nicotiana benthamiana
Lineage: Eukaryota; Viridiplantae; Streptophyta; Magnoliopsida; Solanales; Solanaceae
Description: long non-coding RNA (NBEN_LNC017612)
Source: RNAcentral